AGUAGUAACUUUCAAAGCAAUGUCUACAAGUUUAAAUUCCUUAACCCUGUUCAAGGUUUGUACACACUCAAUAUUUAACUACAGUCCAGGUUUGCAAUUAACAAACUAUCUGAUAAGCCUGUGUAUGAGUCAGAUAUGUCUGCGGCUAAUCUAUUGGUUAUAAAAUAUCACAGCCUUUUCUGAUUGGCUGAGUUCAAAUACAGAAAGUUUACCUGUUAGAUUGAAAUUCUGGAGUAGGCGUAUUGUAGAAAAUAUGCAGGUUAAACUUGUUGUUAAAAUGAAGUUAAUGUAAUUUCACAAACAGUAGAGUUAAUGAGUUUUUCCAUUAACAAGAAUUUCUUAAAAUAAUAAUGUAUGGAUAUCAUUUGGAAAGUGACAUGAAAUGUUGUUAAAAAGUGAUGCAUACAAGUGUUUCAGAAGUCUGUCUAGGAAUAGAACAACAACUGAAGCUGACCAGUUGAUGGAAGAUACUGCAGAGUUUGGCAGGGAAAUAACCCAAGACAGCAAAGCAGCUCUUUUGGCGCAUUUACCAAGAGGACUAACAUGGCCACAAAUUCAUGAGAUCAUGCCGGAGCCGUACAGUAUAACAGCAGUACAAGUUCUAUAAAAGAUCCACGACCUACUGAAGCCCAGCUAAUUAACAAAAAAGUUUUUAAAAACUGUAAUUUUAUCCCACCUGGGUACUUAUAAUUUACUAAGCUGCCUACACAAGUUUUAGACUUGCAAUUAUAUUUUAAAUUGUCACUUGGAAAGUAAUACAUGUACAUGCAUUAUGUUCUGAAUUUCUUUGAAAAAUAAAAUUAUAUAAAAGUAUUUUAAUGAAAUUAAGCACCUAAAUUGCAUUAAAGUGAAAGUAGCUGAGAAAAAGAUGUGUUUGUGAAACACAAUGUCCCCCUUUAUGACGUUUGACCUUGAAGGAUGACCUUGACCCUUCACCACUCAAAAUGUGCAGCUCCAUGAGAUACACAUGCAUGUCAAAUAUAAAAUUGCUAGCUUCAAUAUUGCAGAAGUUACAUUACAUGAGCAAUUUUGACCCAUAUAUUUGACCUAGAAGGAUGACCUUGACCUU
Dreissena polymorpha is the source of this 1069-nucleotide long non-coding RNA. RefSeq lists it as uncharacterized. The transcript is spliced from 3 exons. NCBI's taxonomy places the organism in Eukaryota, Metazoa, Mollusca, Bivalvia, Myida, Dreissenidae. The record is from RefSeq and is a predicted model, not a curated record.